GAUGAACGCUAGCUACAGGCUUAACACAUGCAAGUCGAGGGGUAACGAGAGGAAAGCUUGCUUUCCUUGUCGACGACCGGCGCACGGGUGAGUAACGCGUAUCCAACCUGCCCCCAACUAGGGAAUAACCUUGCGAAAGUAAGACUAAUACCCUAUAAUUUCCUCAGAUGACAUCUGACGAGGAAUAAAGAUUUAUCGGUUGUGGAUGGGGAUGCGUCUGAUUAGCUUGUUGGCGGGGUAACGGCCCACCAAGGCAACGAUCAGUAGGGGUUCUGAGAGGAAGGUCACCCACAUUGGAACUUAGACACGGUCCAAACUCCGACGGGAGGCAGCAGUGAGGAAUAUUGGUCAAUGGGCGGAAGCUUGAACCAGCCAAGUAGCGUGCAGGAUGACGGCCCUAUGGGUUGUAAACUGCUUUUAUACAGGAAUAAAGUUAGCCACGUGUGGUUAUUUGUAGGUACUGUAUGAAUAAGGACCGGCUAAUUCCGUGCCAGCCGCCGCCGUAA
RNAcentral lists this ribosomal RNA (506 nucleotides) under uncultured bacterium. Its description in RNAcentral is "partial 16S ribosomal RNA". It matches the Rfam family "Bacterial small subunit ribosomal RNA", at positions 28 to 523 of the family's 1533-position model. The record is from RNAcentral.